Molecule: long non-coding RNA, 3406 nt
Filed under: Sus scrofa (pig)
Lineage: Eukaryota; Metazoa; Chordata; Mammalia; Artiodactyla; Suidae
Description: lncRNA (ENSSSCG00060060137.1)
Source: RNAcentral
GUAGUUGAGAUAAAGAGAGCCUCCGAUGGCUGACCUUUUAUUAUUAGUCAGAGCCCCAAGUACUUGAGCAGAGGGGGCCACCAGGUGCCUGUGGGAACUCCAGGUGCCUUCUUAGCUGUUGGUGCAAUAUUUGCAGCUGUGGAUUCUCCUUCAACUUGUUUGUUCCACUCACUGCCUGAUAUGUCUCGUGUCUGAUUUCCAGCUCUGGAAACUGGAUGGAAGCCAUGGGUGUGGGGGCUGGGGUGGGGGUGGGGUCAAGUCUGGACUUUUAACGACAAAGGAGCAGAUUGCUGCAGGUUCUGGGGAGCCAGGCACAACUCACGUGCAGCUCAGUUUCCCUGGCAAAAUGUACAAACCUUUCAUAAAUCUUAUGAAAGAGAUAAGGGACUCCUUGUGCAUUGACAGCUCCUGUUCCAGCUCUUAAAGUAGUCUAAGAAUGAGAGGAAAAGAACGUGUAUUCAUAGCAGUUGAGAGAUAAAGAUGGGGUUUAGCGAACUGUACAUUUUAAUUAAUUUAAUAAAUAUAUAUUAGCACUGCCAUUUGCAGUAUUUCAUAUGUGUAAGACUCUGUGCUACAUGCUUGACGAAUCAUAACCCAUUUAAUGCUGGCAACAAACCUGCCAGUAAUUGUAAUUCUCUGAUUUACAGAUGAGUGAACUGAAGCCCCUGCCAGGGAUGUGAGCAAAGUCACAUGAUAAGGAGCAAUUUUCAAAGAAUUAAAAACGGUAGCAAAAUGUACUUACAAGAAAAUAUAUUUUCUUUGGCAAAUCCGAAAAUACUUCAGUGUUACAUAUUGCUUCUGCCUCAUCGUGAUGAAAUUCAAUGAUUUCAGCAGUGAAAAAAAAUAAUUUCAGUAUAUUUUCUUAAUGCAAGGAUACUGGAUCUUUUAAAAAAUUAAUAAGCUGAAUUAUUUGAUGACACUUUUUUAUAGGUGGCAGUAGACUCGAUUUCUGAAUAAUCUACCAAGUCUUAAGUGGUUAACAUUGGGGGUUUGUUUUCAUGUACACACCAAAUUCCUUUUCAAAUUCAGAAUCAGAAUAUAACCUAUAUUUUAAACAUAUUUCUGUAUAUAAUUAAGCAAUUUUCAAAUAGAAAAGAGAGCCACGGCAUAAAUAUAAGACAUACUGCAGUGGUUAAUAUUUAAUUGUGGCAUAAUUAAUCAUAGAAGCUCAUAUGAAUCUAAUUUGUGUUCUCCCCCAAAACGCCAUCUUUGAUUUUGACCAGAGGAAAAAAAAAAAAAAAGACAAAAAAUAAUGCAUACAUUGUAUUUAUACUUCUUGUAAACAAGAGCCACUUUCUUUGUUCAUGGGUUCAAAGAGUUUCAUGAAUACCACCUUCAUUCUGAAAAAGAAUCCUGGUUCUUGCCCUCAUUCUAGGGAGAGAAACUAAGAGAAGCCACAUUCCUCUGAGGAUGGGCUUCUCCAUCCAGGAGAGGUAAAGGGGGGAAGCGAUGGGGGUAGAGCGUCUGUUGACCUUGGCUGGUCCUGUUUGACUCACCCCACCCCCCCGACUUUUUAGAGGCCACCUACAGAGGAAGGGGAUGGCUUACAGACAAAGGUGGGGGGAGAGGUGGCACUCCUGUAGUCAUGGAAAGUUAGAUACCUGAGUGUUCAUAGUCAGAUAAGUCCUUCUCUCCUGGGAAGGUCAUCCUUUCUGCCAGGUACCGCCAUCAAUGGAGGAAGGGCAUUUCGAUUGAGGAAAGAGCAUGAAUGAAGUUUGCUGUGGGAAAAGUACGGGUGGAAGUACCCAUGACGGAUGGGGGAGAGUCUGAGAUCUGCUUGGCAGAAUAAAGAGUGCAGUUUGGGGGUCAGUGGGAAAUAAGUUUAAAAGCAGGCCCUGUUCUCAACUGGGUAACAGGGAGCCUUAGUCAGUACUGGAGCUUGAUGAACAAGGAGUUUUGAGAAGAUUAGUGUGAGGAUGAUACACGAAAUCAAAUGGGAGAGCAAGAAAAAGGAGGCAACAAGAUAACUUUAAAAAUUGCAUAAAACUCAUGAUAUCAUAGAAAUUGGAUGAACCCUGGUAAAUGCAAUUAUAAAAUAUACACAUAAGGUAAUAGAUAUAAAAUAAUUAAAAUAAAUAAAAUAUUUGCAGGACUGGGAUACUAUACAGUGAGAGGGGAGUAAAGAAACAUUACAAGGGGGGAGUUCUGUCAUGGCUCAGGAGGUAAUGAAUGACUAGCAACCAAGAGGACGCAGGUUCAAUCCCUGGCCUCGCUCAGUGUGUUAAGGAUCUGGCGUUGCCCCGGGGGUAUGUGGAAGUUCCUGCACCUGGGAUCCAACCUGUGCCACAGUUGUAACCAGAGUCACAGCAGUGACGACGAUGGAUCCUGAACCUGCUGAAUCACCAGGGAAUUCCGGUUUCUGUGUCAUGAGGUGGAGCUCACUGGCAAGCAGCUGAAUAAAAUGAGUAGAGUGGGAAGGGAAUUUUGAAUAUUUUGAAGGGACUUUUAUUUUUGAAUUUGAUAAACUGAAUUAGAGAUACCUGCUGGAAAUUCAAGCGAAGUUUAUUUUUUAGCCUCUCAGACCUUUGAAAAUGAGACUUUCUCAAGGCUCCAGGAGACACAGCAGUCCAUUCAAAAGGGCAGGCAAGCAGGUGGGUCAGGACAGGAGGUGCAGCUAGCAGGGCAGAUGCAGCACACGGGGUGUGCGUGGCGCCCAUAGUUUGGGGUUGGGAAGAGGAGAGAAACCAGAAGGGAACAGGAAGGUUUGUGAUGGAGGAUGAAGGGGAUAGUCCUGGGGGGGGGGGCACCAGCUGCUGGACUACCUCUCACACUGUGUCACACUCUGAGCAGCAGGGUGCAUUGGAGCCAUAGAUGGAGAUGUAAGUCACCUGCCCCAUCUGCCCCCAGGUUACCUCACUCAACAGGUCUCAUCCACUGAGACUCAUGGCUCUGGUCAUGGAGCUCACCUUCCUCUGAGUACUUAAUACACAGCGGCUGGUGUGUUCAUCCAUUCAAAUCCUUCAGAUUCCAUGCACCUCUACAAGCCCUGGAUUCCUGCCCCGUGCAAGAGCCCAUUUAUUUCCUGUCCUCCUAAGCCCAUUAGUACUCCCUUCCAAGGGUAGAAGAUGCGGUUACAAAAUGACAUUGAAGAAUUUCCUACCGGACCAGGUGACAUUUCUUUCAAGGUCCUCUCCCAGCUAUACCAGGAAAAGCAUUAACAAAAGGGAGAUAUUUGGGGAAGGGGGGUUGCCAGCAGUGUCAAAUGACAGGUUGAUGUUUAGGAUUACAGAGAGCUGAGGAUUUGAAAGAGGAGUCUUGCCAGUUUGGGGGUGUAGUUUGGAUAGAACGGUGAGGACAAGGACAAUAUUGUAGAGGAUGUAAAGAGCAUGGUGGUGGCGGAGGCCGUGGGCAAGGAAGGCGUAUUUGAAGAGUCUAGCUCUGAAUGGGGGUGAUGGGAUGGUAGCUG